GACGAACGCUGGCGGCGUGCCUAAUACAUGCAAGUAGAACGCACGGUUUAUACCGUAGCUUGCUACACCAUAGACUGUGAGUUGCGAACGGGUGAGUAACGCGUAGGUAACCUGCCUGGUAGCGGGGGAUAACUAUUGGAAACGAUAGCUAAUACCGCAUAAUAUUAAUUAUUGCAUGAUAAUUAAUUGAAAGGUGCAAUUGCACCACUACCAGAUGGACCUGCGUUGUAUUAGCUAGUAGGUGAGGUAACGGCUCACCUAGGCGACGAUACAUAGCCGACCUGAGAGGGUGAUCGGCCACACUGGGACUGGGACACGGCCCAGACUCCUACGGGAGGCAGCAGUAGGGAAUCUUCGGCAAUGGACGAAAGUCUGACCGAGCAACGCCGCGUGAGUGAAGAAGGUUUUCGGAUCGUAAAGCUCUGUUGUAAGAGAAGAACGGGUGUGAGAGUGGAAAGUUCACACUGUGACGGUAUCUUACCAGAAAGGGACGGCUAACUACGUG
RNAcentral lists this ribosomal RNA (505 nucleotides) under uncultured bacterium. RNAcentral's name for it is "partial 16S ribosomal RNA". It matches the Rfam family "Bacterial small subunit ribosomal RNA", at positions 28 to 507 of the family's 1533-position model. The record is from RNAcentral.